RNAcentral lists this transfer RNA (72 nucleotides) under Myotis brandtii (Brandt's bat). It matches the Rfam family "tRNA". From Rfam's summary of the family: Transfer RNA (tRNA) molecules are approximately 80 nucleotides in length. Their secondary structure includes four short double-helical elements and three loops (D, anti-codon, and T loops). The record is from Rfam by way of RNAcentral. Lineage: Eukaryota; Metazoa; Chordata; Mammalia; Chiroptera; Vespertilionidae.
GCCAGUGUUGCUCAGUGGUUAGAGCAUCACCCUGCAGACUGAAGGUCCCGGGUUCGAUUCCCAUCAAGGGCA